RNAcentral lists this ribosomal RNA (463 nucleotides) under uncultured bacterium. RNAcentral's name for it is "partial 16S ribosomal RNA". It matches the Rfam family "Bacterial small subunit ribosomal RNA", at positions 28 to 507 of the family's 1533-position model. The record is from RNAcentral.
GAUGAACGCUGACAGAAUGCUUAACACAUGCAAGUCUUUGGCGAAGCUGUGCUUGCACAGCCUAGCCAAGGCGGACGGGUGAGUAACGCGUAAGGAACUUGCCCUGCAGUCAGGGAUAACAGACGGAAACGACUGAUAAGACCUGGUAAAGUCAGGCGGACUCAUGUCCAGCCUGAUGAAAAGAGAUGCUGCAGGAGAGCCUUGGGUCCUAUUAGCUUGUUGGUGGGGUAACGGCCCACCAAGGCGAUGAUAGGUAGCCGGCCUGAGAGGGUGGACGGCCACAAGGGGACUGAGAUACGGCCCUUACUCCUACGGGAGGCAGCAGUGGGGAAUAUUGGACAAUGGGGGCAACCCUGAUCCAGCAAUUCUGUGUGCACGAUGAAGGUUUUCGGAUUGUAAAGUGCUUUAAGCAGGGAAGAAAAAAAUGACGGUACCUGCAGAAGAAGCGACGGCUAAAUACGUG